GACGAACGCUGGCGGCGUGCCUAAUACAUGCAAGUUGAGCGCUGAAGGUUGGUACUUGUACCAACUGGAUGAGCAGCGCACGGGUGAGUAACGCGUGGGGAAUCUGCCUUUGAGCGGGGGACAACAUUUGGAAACGAAUGCUAAUACCGCAUAAAAACUUUAAACACAAGUUUUAAGUUUGAAAGAUGCAAUUGCAUCACUCAAAGAUGAUCCCGCGUUGUAUUAGUUAGUUGGUGAGGUAAAGGCUCACCAAGGCGAUGAUACAUAGCCGACCUGAGAGGGUGAUCGGCCACAUUGGGACUGAGACACGGCCCAAACUCCUACGGGAGGCAGCAGUAGGGAAUCUUCGGCAAUGGACGAAAGUCUGACCGAGCAACGCCGCGUGAGGGAAGAAGGUUUUCGGAUCGGAAAACUCUGUUGGUAGAGAAGAACGUUGGUGAGAGUGGAAAGCUCAUCAAGUGACGGUAACUACCCAGAAAGGGACGGCUAACUACGUG
Molecule: ribosomal RNA, 497 nt
Filed under: uncultured bacterium
Lineage: Bacteria
Description: partial 16S ribosomal RNA
Rfam family: Bacterial small subunit ribosomal RNA
Source: RNAcentral